Molecule: microRNA precursor, 110 nt
Filed under: Gallus gallus (chicken)
Lineage: Eukaryota; Metazoa; Chordata; Aves; Galliformes; Phasianidae
Description: microRNA gga-mir-1684b precursor
Rfam family: mir-1684 microRNA precursor family (bases 16-102)
Source: miRBase by way of RNAcentral
GCUGCCAAAUGGAUCGGGUUUGAAAGGAGAGCUCUGCUUCCUCAUACAUACUCAUCUUUUCUAUGGAUAAGUAUGAGGAAAUGGAGAUCUCCUUCCAUUCCACCUGUUUU